AAGACUAUACUUUCAGGGAUCAUUUCUAUAGUUCGUUACUAGAGAAG
This is a non-coding RNA of Cricetulus griseus (Chinese hamster), 47 nucleotides long. NCBI's taxonomy places the organism in Eukaryota, Metazoa, Chordata, Mammalia, Rodentia, Cricetidae. The record is from Rfam.